GGGUCAUUAGGUUGGUCGUGCCACCGGUACGUACUGGUCUCACUGGUUCCUCCUUCCUGAAGAACCGUAAUGCCAUGAAUUUGGUGUUGCGGGGAAACAGGACUGUUACUUUGAAAAAAUUAGAGUGUUUAAAGCAAGCUAACGCUUGAAUGCAUUAGCAUGGAAUAAUGAAAUAGGACGAUCGAUCCUAUUUUGUUGGUUUCUAGGAUUGACGUA
RNAcentral lists this ribosomal RNA (216 nucleotides) under Glomeromycotina sp. RNAcentral describes it as "partial small subunit ribosomal RNA". The stretch from base 87 to 216 matches the Rfam family "Eukaryotic small subunit ribosomal RNA", at positions 733 to 864 of the family's 1831-position model. The record is from RNAcentral. Lineage: Eukaryota; Fungi; Glomeromycota.